UACGACGGGGUCUAGCGUUGCUCGGAAUCACUGGGCGUAAAGGGCGCGUAGGCGGUUCUUUAAGUCGGGGGUGAAAGCCCAGGGCUCAACCCUGGAAUUGCCUUCGAUACUGAAGAUCUCGAGACCGGAAGAGGUAAGUGGAACUGCGAGUGUAGAGGUGAAAUUCGUAGAUAUUCGCAAGAACACCAGUGGCGAAGGCGGCUUACUGGUCCGGUUCUGACGCUGAGGCGCGAAAGCGUGGGGAGCAAACAGG
Molecule: ribosomal RNA, 253 nt
Filed under: uncultured bacterium
Lineage: Bacteria
Description: partial 16S ribosomal RNA
Rfam family: Bacterial small subunit ribosomal RNA
Source: RNAcentral